CCAAUAGCGUAUAUUAAAGUUGUUGCAGUUAAAAAGCUCGUAGUUGAACUUCGGGGUUUACUUAUUGGUUAGGUCUAAUUGUCUGUACUGGUGAUCUGAAUCUCUACCUUCUGAGGAACUUUCAUGUCAUUUAUUUGGUGUGAUGGGAAACCAGGACUGUUACUUUGAAAAAAUUAGAGUGUUUAAAGCAGGCUAAUGUCUGAAUAUAUUAGCAUGGAAUAAUGAAAUAGGACGGACUGAUUCUAUUUCGUUGGUUUCUAGGAUCACCGUAAUGAUUAAUAGGGAUAGUUGGGGGCAUUAGUAUUCAAUUGUCAGAGGUGAAAUUCUUGGAUUUAUUGAAGACUAACUACUGCGAAAGCAUUUGCCAAGGAUGUUUUCAUUAAUCAAGAACGAAAGUUAGGGGAUCGAAGACGAUCAGAUACCGUCGUAGUCUUAACCAUAAACUAUGCCGACUAGGGAUCGGACGAAGUUAAUUUUAUAAUGACGCGUUCGGCACCUUACG
This 502-nucleotide ribosomal RNA is filed under the name uncultured Glomeromycotina. Its description in RNAcentral is "partial small subunit ribosomal RNA". It matches the Rfam family "Eukaryotic small subunit ribosomal RNA", at positions 591 to 1092 of the family's 1831-position model. Lineage: Eukaryota; Fungi; Glomeromycota. The record is from RNAcentral.